UUUCCGUAGGUGAACCUGCGGAAGGAUCAUUAUUGUAUAACCGAGGUGCGAGGGCUGUCGCUGACCCGAAAGGUCGUGCACGCCCGAGUGCCCUCACACACAUCCAUCUCACCCCUAUGUGCACCACCGCGUGGGUCACCCUUUGGCUUGUUCGGAGGGGGGCUUACGUCUUCACACAAACUUUGUAUGCAGUGUAGAAUGUAUUUUUUGUUUUUGCGAUCACGCAAUCAAUACAACUUUCAACAACGGAUCUCUUGGCUCUC
Molecule: unclassified non-coding RNA, 263 nt
Filed under: plant metagenome
Description: partial contains small subunit ribosomal RNA, internal transcribed spacer 1, and 5.8S ribosomal RNA
Source: RNAcentral